Molecule: small RNA, 91 nt
Filed under: Flavobacterium swingsii
Lineage: Bacteria; Pseudomonadati; Bacteroidota; Flavobacteriia; Flavobacteriales; Flavobacteriaceae
Description: Flavo-1 RNA
Rfam family: Flavo-1 RNA
Source: RNAcentral
AAAUAGCAUUUGCGUUAGGGAUUGAAGUGGAAAUCCUUUUUUUGAGGCUUUUCGCCGAUAAAAAAGAUUGCAACGGAAAGCCCGACCCUUG